GAUGAACGCUGGCGGCGUGCCUAAUACAUGCCAGUCGAGCGAACAGACGAGGAGCUUGCUCCUCUGACGUUAGCGGCGGACGGGUGAGUAACACGUGGAUAACCUACCUAUAAGACUGGGAUAACUUCGGGAAACCGGAGCUAAUGCCGGAUAAUAUAUUGAACCGCAUGGUUCAAUAGUGAAAGACGGUUUUGCUGUCACUUAUAGAUGGAUCCGCGCCGCAUUAGCUAGUUGGUAAGGUAACGGCUUACCAAGGCAACGAUGCGUAGCCGACCUGAGAGGGUGAUCGGCCACACUGGAACUGAGACACGGUCCAGGCUCCUACGGGAGGCAGCAGUAGGGAAUCUUCCGCAAUAGGCGAAAGCCUGACGGAGCAACGCCGCGUGAAUGAUGAAGGUCUUCGGAUCGUAAAACUCUGUUAUUAGGGAAGAACAAAUGUGUAAGUAACUAUGCACGUCUUGACGGUACCUAAUAAGAAAGCAACGGCUAACUACGUG
Molecule: ribosomal RNA, 497 nt
Filed under: uncultured bacterium
Lineage: Bacteria
Description: partial 16S ribosomal RNA
Rfam family: Bacterial small subunit ribosomal RNA
Source: RNAcentral